This 253-nucleotide ribosomal RNA is filed under the name uncultured bacterium. Its description in RNAcentral is "partial 16S ribosomal RNA". It matches the Rfam family "Bacterial small subunit ribosomal RNA", at positions 524 to 776 of the family's 1533-position model. The record is from RNAcentral.
UACAGAGGUCUCAAGCGUUGUUCGGAUUCAUUGGGAGUAAAGGGUGCGCAGGCGGCGGGGCAAGUCGGACGUGAAAUCUCGGGGCUUAACCCCGAAACUGCGUUCGAUACUGCCCUGCUAGAGGACUGGAGAGGAGACUGGAAUUCCUGGUGUAGCAGUGAAAUGCGUAGAUAUCAGGAGGAACGCCAAUGGCGAAGGCAAGUCUCUGGACAGUUCCUGACGCUCAUGCACGAAGGCCAGGGGAGCAAACGGG